UUUUUUUUUUUUUUUUAAUAAAAUACAGUUUACUCUGCUAGAUGGAAACCAAAUCUUUUAGUGCAAUACUACAGGGAAAGAAAUUUAAUAUCAUUAACAAAAGGUUUCAAGAUUAACAAGGCAGCAGAUAUCACACCCCAAAGAGUGCUCUGCCUUCAAGGACACACCUUGACACAUGUUUCCCCCAGCUCAAAUCAUCUGCAUUUUUUUUUUUCUUUUAUGAUUUGAAGUUACACGACCCUUCUGAGCUCCACACAGCAUGACCAUGUUCUUGGUUGUCCAAAGUCCAAACCCACCGCAAUUUCUUCCUCUUUUGUUUUCUCUAUCCGACCUCCCCAUGGCAUACUACCAACACUUUUACUUUCGUACGAACUCAUAAAUUCACCAUAAUUCAAAUUAACCCAAUUUACAGUACAACAUAAUUCACUCCUAUUCAUAGUCAAAGUAUUCAUAGAGGGCACUUGCUUUAAUUUGAAAUCAAACCAGCUAAGGGCUUAGGAUUUAUUACUCAUUUAUUUCCAACUCAAGAACUUAUACCUAGAUUAAUUAACUUGAAAUUUAAAUUAUUUCCUCUAUUAAUACUGAACAAGACAGCAGAAACCCGCAUAUACAAAAAAAAUACAGCUCGAUGAUCAAAAGAGGAGAUCAAGACCAACAAAACCCCCCAAAAACAAUAGCAAAAAUGCACAAAGAAGCACUUAAAAAAAAAAAAACUCCAAAUCGAUAAAACCCUAGCUUAGCAAUGAAAUCCAAACCAUUAAUUACACCAUUUAUUUACAUACACGUCUUUCAUAUUUGCUCCUCAAUACAACAUAAACUCAUCUUGAUAAAUAAACAGAUACGAUCCACAAGCCUAAAGGAAAAAAUUCAAGUAUUAUCUUAAUUAAAUCUCUAUUUAUCCUUAUUUAACAAUCUACUUCUACCAUAGUUCAAUAUUGAGAAAAAGAUUCAUUAAAGAAAUUUCAAAAGAAAGAGAUGAAUAAAUCAUUUUCCUCCACACCUGUCCAAAAUCUACGGUUUAAAA
RNAcentral lists this unclassified non-coding RNA (1024 nucleotides) under Hevea brasiliensis (rubber tree). Lineage: Eukaryota; Viridiplantae; Streptophyta; Magnoliopsida; Malpighiales; Euphorbiaceae. The record is from RNAcentral.